This is a non-coding RNA of Parelaphostrongylus tenuis, 70 nucleotides long. The record is from the annotation of a GenBank genome assembly. Lineage: Eukaryota; Metazoa; Nematoda; Chromadorea; Rhabditida; Metastrongylidae.
ACCUUGGUGGUGUAGUGGCAGCACGCGUCCCCGGAAUGGAUAAAUGCGGGUCCGACUCCCGCCCGAGGUU